RNAcentral lists this ribosomal RNA (335 nucleotides) under Brachistosternus multidentatus. RNAcentral describes it as "partial 12S small subunit ribosomal RNA". Lineage: Eukaryota; Metazoa; Arthropoda; Arachnida; Scorpiones; Bothriuridae. The record is from RNAcentral.
UAAAAAUUUACUUAUUUUAGGUAGUAACAGAUUUCUUGAAACCUAAAGAAUUUGGCGGUAUUUUAAAUAAUUAGAGGAACCUGUUUAAUAAAUGAUAAUCCACAACAUAUCUUACCUAAAUUAAGUUUGUAUACCGUUGUUUUCAGAUUAUAUUUUAAAAUUAUAGUCAAAAUUAAUUUAUUUUUAUAAAUCAAAUCAAGGUGCAGCAUAUUUAGGUUAAAAUGGGUUACAAUAUAUUUAUAUAUCUAUGAAUUAAUAAUGAAAACAUUUAUGAAGGUGGAUUUAAAAGUAAUUUAAAAUUAAAAUGUUUAAAUGAAUAAAAAUUUAAAAUAUGC